RNAcentral lists this long non-coding RNA (311 nucleotides) under Gorilla gorilla gorilla (western lowland gorilla). RNAcentral's name for it is "lncRNA (ENSGGOG00000044265.1)". The record is from RNAcentral. Lineage: Eukaryota; Metazoa; Chordata; Mammalia; Primates; Hominidae.
GCUGAUGCUGACUUGUUCAUCUCUUCCAACCUCUGCAAACAAAGUGGGAAAUUGGAUUUUUCUGAACACCCAGAUGACAACGGGAGAGGAGGCUCUGUGGCCUCCCGUAACCUGACUCCAGAGCCAGCAGUGUCUGUGGAGAGUCAGCAAGGGUAACCUGCCAGGGAGAAAACCUAAGAAGCCAUGGUGCAAACUGGUACCAGCAGAACCCUGCCAGAUGCCUGUGCAGGUCAUACAUGGGACUUUCUGCUUGGUCAGAAGAUUAACAAUUGUGUCUCCUGGUUCCACCAGCAACAGAGUAGAGACCCACA